This 460-nucleotide ribosomal RNA is filed under the name uncultured bacterium. RNAcentral describes it as "partial 16S ribosomal RNA". It matches the Rfam family "Bacterial small subunit ribosomal RNA", at positions 338 to 795 of the family's 1533-position model. The record is from RNAcentral.
CCUACGGGGGGCAGCAGUGAGGAAUAUUGGUCAAUGGCCGGACGGCUGAACCAGCCAUGCCGCGUGAAGGUCAGUGCCCUAUGGGCGUUAAACUUCUUUUGUGCGGGAGCAAUAAUGGUCACGUGUGGCCAGACGACAGUACCGUACGAAUCAGCAUCGGCUAACGCCGUGUCAGCAGCCGCGGUAAUACGGGGGAUGCAAGCGUUAUCCGGAUUUAUUGGGUUUAAAGGGUGCGUAGGCUGUGAGGUAAGUCAGCGGUGAAAUGCCCCCGCUCAACGGGGUGAAGUGCCAUUGAUACUGCCGUGCUGGAAUGCGGAUGCCGGGGGAGGAAUGUGUGGUGUAGCGGUGAAAUGCAUAGAUAUCACACAGAACACCGAGUGCGAAGGCAUCUCACGAAGCCGCGAUUGACGCUGAUGCACGAAAGCGUGGGUAUCAAACAGGAUUAGAUACCCUUGUAGUC